This 221-nucleotide long non-coding RNA is filed under the name Elaeis guineensis (African oil palm). RNAcentral describes it as "long non-coding RNA (EGUI_LNC074178)". Lineage: Eukaryota; Viridiplantae; Streptophyta; Magnoliopsida; Arecales; Arecaceae. The record is from RNAcentral.
UCCAUCCUCUCUUCCUUCCUCUCCUUCCCAUGCCAUUGCACAUGGUCGCCGACUGAUGGAUUCAUCAAAAAAUCCAAGAAAAGAAAAAUCCCUGCUUUUCUCUAUUUUGAAUGAGCCUUCUCCCUCUCUUUUUCGGCCACCAGCGCCGUCGCUCAUGGUGCCGCACCCAUGCGUCAUGACCCCCACCUCCGUAGCUUCCUUCUCUGGAAGUUUGGCCAACG